RNAcentral lists this ribosomal RNA (492 nucleotides) under uncultured bacterium. RNAcentral's name for it is "partial 16S ribosomal RNA". It matches the Rfam family "Bacterial small subunit ribosomal RNA", at positions 29 to 507 of the family's 1533-position model. The record is from RNAcentral.
AGUGAACGCUGGCGGCAGGCCUAACACAUGCAAGUCGAACGGCAGCACAGUAAGAGCUUGCUCUUACGGGUGGCGAGUGGCGGACGGGUGAGGAAUACAUCGGAAUCUACUUUUUCGUGGGGGAUAACGUAGGGAAACUUACGCUAAUACCGCAUACGACCUACGGGUGAAAGCAGGGGAUCUUCGGACCUUGCGCGAUUGAAUGAGCCGAUGUCGGAUUAGCUAGUUGGCGGGGUAAAGGCCCACCAAGGCGACGAUCCGUAGCUGGUCUGAGAGGAUGAUCAGCCACACUGGAACUGAGACACGGUGCAGACUCCUACGGGAGGCAGCAGUGGGGAAUAUUGGACAAUGGGCGCAAGCCUGAUCCAGCCAUACCGCGUGGGUGAAGAAGGCCUUCGGGUUGUAAAGCCCUUUUGUUGGGAAAGAAAAGCAGCAGGUUAAUACCCCGCUGUUCUGACGGUACCCAAAGAAUAAGCACCGGCUAACUUCGUG